CGCACUAAGACUACAAAUCCCAUAAUGCCGUGCGCCAGCCUCUGUAACGGCGAGCCCGGAGAAUUUGAAAGUUAGGACUCUUAGUACGUGAUUUCCGUGCCUGAGGUCUUAUUACCUAGCCCAGGUAGACCUCAAACUCGUGAACUUCCAUUCUCGGCCACCAGUAAUUGGAAUUAUAGGCGUGGACCACUAAAGCCAUGGAGGUACAGAAGUACUUUUUCCCCACUAAGUACUAAUUUUAACAAGUAGUUAAACAAG
Long non-coding RNA from Mastomys coucha (southern multimammate mouse), 258 nucleotides. RefSeq lists it as uncharacterized. The transcript has 2 exons. NCBI's taxonomy places the organism in Eukaryota, Metazoa, Chordata, Mammalia, Rodentia, Muridae. The record is from RefSeq and is a predicted model, not a curated record.